GAUUAAGUUAUUAAGGGCGCACGGUGGAUGCCUUGGCACUAGAAGCCGAUGAAGGACGUUACUAACGACGAUAUGCUUUGGGGAGCUGUAAGUAAGCUUUGAUCCAGAGAUUUCCGAAUGGGGAAACCCAGCAUGAGUUAUGUCAUGUUAUCGAUAUGUGAAUACAUAGCAUAUCAGAAGGCACACCCGGAGAACUGAAACAUCUUAGUACCCGGAGGAAGAGAAAGAAAAUUCGAUUCCCUUAGUAGCGGCGAGCGAAACGGGAAGAGCCCAAACCAACAAGCUUGCUUGUUGGGGUUGUAGGACACUCUAUACGGAGUUACAAAGGACGACAUUAGACGAAUCAUCUGGAAAGAUGAAUCAAAGAAGGUAAUAAUCCUGUAGUCGAAAAUGUUGUCUCUCUUGAGUGGAUCCUGAGUACGACGGAGCACGUGAAAUUCCGUCGGGAUCUGGGAGGACCAUCUCCUAAGGCUAAAUACUCUCUAGUGACCGAUAGUGAACCAGUACCGUGAGGGAAAGGUGAAAAGCACCCCGGAAGGGGAGUGAAAUAGAACCUGAAACCGUGUGCUUACAAGUAGUCAGAGCCCGUUAAUGGGUGAUGGCGUGCCUUUUGUAGAAUGAACCGGCGAGUUACGAUUUGAUGCAAGGUUAAGCAGUAAAUGUGGAGCCGUAGCGAAAGCGAGUCUGAAUAGGGCGUUUAGUAUUUGGUCGUAGACCCGAAACCAGGUGAUCUACCCUUGGUCAGGUUGAAGUUCAGGUAACACUGAAUGGAGGACCGAACCGACUUACGUUGAAAAGUGAGCGGAUGAACUGAGGGUAGCGGAGAAAUUCCAAUCGAACCUGGAGAUAGCUGGUUCUCUCCGAAAUAGCUUUAGGGCUAGCCUCAAGUGAUGAUUAUUGGAGGUAGAGCACUGUUUGGACGAGGGGCCCCUCUCGGGUUACCGAAUUCAGACAAACUCCGAAUGCCAAUUAAUUUAACUUGGGAGUCAGAACAUGGGUGAUAAGGUCCGUGUUCGAAAGGGAAACAGCCCAGACCACCAGCUAAGGUCCCAAAAUAUAUGUUAAGUGGAAAAGGAUGUGGCGUUGCCCAGACAACUAGGAUGUUGGCUUAGAAGCAGCCAUCAUUUAAAGAGUGCGUAAUAGCUCACUAGUCGAGUGACACUGCGCCGAAAAUGUACCGGGGCUAAACAUAUUACCGAAGCUGUGGAUUGUCCUUUGGACAAUGGUAGGAGAGCGUUCUAAGGGCGUUGAAGCAUGAUCGUAAGGACAUGUGGAGCGCUUAGAAGUGAGAAUGCCGGUGUGAGUAGCGAAAGACGGGUGAGAAUCCCGUCCACCGAUUGACUAAGGUUUCCAGAGGAAGGCUCGUCCGCUCUGGGUUAGUCGGGUCCUAAGCUGAGGCCGACAGGCGUAGGCGAUGGAUAACAGGUUGAUAUUCCUGUACCACCUAUAAUCGUUUUAAUCGAUGGGGGGACGCAGUAGGAUAGGCGAAGCGUGCGAUUGGAUUGCACGUCUAAGCAGUAAGGCUGAGUAUUAGGCAAAUCCGGUACUCGUUAAGGCUGAGCUGUGAUGGGGAGAAGACAUUGUGUCUUCGAGUCGUUGAUUUCACACUGCCGAGAAAAGCCUCUAGAUAGAAAAUAGGUGCCCGUACCGCAAACCGACACAGGUAGUCAAGAUGAGAAUUCUAAGGUGAGCGAGCGAACUCUCGUUAAGGAACUCGGCAAAAUGACCCCGUAACUUCGGGAGAAGGGGUGCUCUUUAGGGUUAACGCCCAGAAGAGCCGCAGUGAAUAGGCCCAAGCGACUGUUUAUCAAAAACACAGGUCUCUGCUAAACCGUAAGGUGAUGUAUAGGGGCUGACGCCUGCCCGGUGCUGGAAGGUUAAGAGGAGUGGUUAGCUUCUGCGAAGCUACGAAUCGAAGCCCCAGUAAACGGCGGCCGUAACUAUAACGGUCCUAAGGUAGCGAAAUUCCUUGUCGGGUAAGUUCCGACCCGCACGAAAGGCGUAACGAUUUGGGCACUGUCUCAACGAGAGACUCGGUGAAAUCAUAGUACCUGUGAAGAUGCAGGUUACCCGCGACAGGACGGAAAGACCCCGUGGAGCUUUACUGUAGCCUGAUAUUGAAAUUCGGCACAGCUUGUACAGGAUAGGUAGGAGCCUUUGAAACGUGAGCGCUAGCUUACGUGGAGGCGCUGGUGGGAUACUACCCUAGCUGUGUUGGCUUUCUAACCCGCACCACUUAUCGUGGUGGGAGACAGUGUCAGGCGGGCAGUUUGACUGGGGCGGUCGCCUCCUAAAAGGUAACGGAGGCGCUCAAAGGUUCCCUCAGAAUGGUUGGAAAUCAUUCAUAGAGUGUAAAGGCAUAAGGGAGCUUGACUGCGAGACCUACAAGUCGAGCAGGGUCGAAAGACGGACUUAGUGAUCCGGUGGUUCCGCAUGGAAGGGCCAUCGCUCAACGGAUAAAAGCUACCCCGGGGAUAACAGGCUUAUCUCCCCCAAGAGUUCACAUCGACGGGGAGGUUUGGCACCUCGAUGUCGGCUCAUCGCAUCCUGGGGCUGUAGUCGGUCCCAAGGGUUGGGCUGUUCGCCCAUUAAAGCGGUACGCGAGCUGGGUUCAGAACGUCGUGAGACAGUUCGGUCCCUAUCCGUCGUGGGCGUAGGAAAUUUGAGAGGAGCUGUCCUUAGUACGAGAGGACCGGGAUGGACAUACCUCUGGUGUACCAGUUGUCGUGCCAACGGCAUAGCUGGGUAGCUAUGUGUGGACGGGAUAAGUGCUGAAAGCAUCUAAGCAUGAAGCCCCCCUCAAGAUGAGAUUUCCCAACUUCGGUUAUAAGAUCCCUCAAAGAUGAUGAGGUUAAUAGGUUCGAGGUGGAAGCAUGGUGACAUGUGGAGCUGACGAAUACUAAUCGAUCGAAGACUUAAUCAA
RNAcentral lists this ribosomal RNA (2923 nucleotides) under Staphylococcus aureus. RNAcentral's name for it is "23S ribosomal RNA". It matches the Rfam family "Bacterial large subunit ribosomal RNA". The record is from RNAcentral. Lineage: Bacteria; Bacillati; Bacillota; Bacilli; Caryophanales; Staphylococcaceae.